Molecule: small nuclear RNA, 96 nt
Filed under: Marmota marmota marmota (Alpine marmot)
Lineage: Eukaryota; Metazoa; Chordata; Mammalia; Rodentia; Sciuridae
Also listed under: 1 other name
Source: RNAcentral
UCGCUUCCGCAGCAAGUAUAGAAAAACUGGAAUGAUACAGAGAAGAUUAGCAUGGCCCCUGUGCAAGGACGACACGCAAAUUCAUUCCAUAUUUUU